Long non-coding RNA from Apis dorsata (giant honeybee), 830 nucleotides. RefSeq lists it as uncharacterized. The record is from RefSeq and is a predicted model, not a curated record. NCBI's taxonomy places the organism in Eukaryota, Metazoa, Arthropoda, Insecta, Hymenoptera, Apidae. The transcript has 3 exons.
AAUCUCAUUUAAAUAUGAAUCUUUUUAAUCGCCUUUUUUGAAAGAUAUUUGGAACAGAUGGAAAAAAUCUAGUGACACAUCUGAAAUCAAUCAAUUAUUUUUAUACAGAAUAUUAGUAGUUCCGAUAUAAUUCGAAUAUAUGUCAUCGCGAUGCACGAAAUGUCAUCGUGGAUAAUCGCAUUUCUGGUUGUCUCGUGGUUGUGUCGUGAACAAAUCUAUAACUUAUUAGUGGAAAAAGUAUCGUGCGUUUGGCUUGAGUAUCCUUGAUAAUUCAUUAAUAUUUCGUCCGUUAUUUCGAUUUCAUUUUAUUUGUCGCAUUACCACGAAGAAAUCGGUAUUUCGAAAUGUGAUUAAAUAUGAUCAAUAUUAUUGCAUAUUGCUUUAUUAAUAUUUACAUUAAAUGACACGAAGAAUUUUUUUUAAUAAAGAAUAAAAUUAUUAUCUUAAAUGAACUAUACAUAUACAAGAUAAGACACUUUUGUGAUAAUAUUAAUUAAUAAAAUCUUAUGGUUGCGUACCUAUGAGGUCGGGUGCGUAUAAAUCAUGGCUCUGGCAUAGGUGCACCAUAUGGUCAAUGUUCAAAAGGUCUGGCUUCUGUGUAACACCCAUAGACACCAUGAGGGGUGUCCAUGACUACCACGUGUCUUGAAAACUGAGGAUACCGCUACUAUUCUUUUUCUGUUCUCUGUAAUUUGAUCACAAUUUACUUAACAGUCAGUCCGCUAUCUUUCAUUAUAUUAAUUAAAUGUCUUGGAAGGUUAUUGAAAAUUUGAAAUUAUUAUUAUAAGAUUAUAAGUUAGAUUCAUGUCUAUAUAACCUAUAAAUAUAAA